This is a long non-coding RNA of Chlorocebus sabaeus (green monkey), 491 nucleotides long. RefSeq lists it as uncharacterized. The record is from RefSeq and is a predicted model, not a curated record. NCBI's taxonomy places the organism in Eukaryota, Metazoa, Chordata, Mammalia, Primates, Cercopithecidae.
GAUGCAAAACCAUCAGCUCUGCGUACCAAGCAGAGCCACCAGACACAACGGGGACCUGACAGCAACGAGACUGAGACCGAGCUCGACUGCCUGGAUCCUGAGAGAAUGAGGAAAUCAGUGGUGCUUCAGGAUAUUGUGAAUUUGGACUUCUGAAAGCAGAAUUCUGAUUUAACAGUAUAAUGGAAUUCAUGAAUGUCAUGGUGCUCAUUUGAACCAACAAGCAGCCUUGUCAGAGGAAUCUGCUUUUCCUCAAAUCUGAAGAACACCAGGAGAAUCUUUCUGGAUGGAGUUACCAGGAAUCCUUUGCUGAGGAAAGUGAAAGGGAAGAUGCAAUUUCUCCUGGGAAGGGGGGAUGCUGAUGUAGAGGGUGAUAAGUAUAUGCUAUGAAGCAUUCAGUCACCUGGUUAGAUUUAGAGUUAGAGAGGAAGGCAAGGAUGCAAGGAAGCAAGAAAUGAUAAAAUUUAUUCUAAGAUAAAAUUUGUGAAUUUUGC